Callithrix jacchus (white-tufted-ear marmoset) is the source of this 875-nucleotide non-coding RNA. NCBI's taxonomy places the organism in Eukaryota, Metazoa, Chordata, Mammalia, Primates, Cebidae. The record is from RefSeq and is a predicted model, not a curated record.
GGAGUGUUGUGGUGGAAAAUUAGUCUAAGAGGAAAUGUGCAGAACAGCCAAGGGAGCCUCUGGGAACAGUCAAAGCGGGUGAAGCCGAAAGGCUCCUGAUAUUCCUUCAGGACACUCUGUACUGCUCCCCUGAGCCAUCACUUCACAAAACACGGUCUCUGCUUUCUUCUACUUCACAUUUUAUGAUCUGCCUGCAGAGAGAACACACUCAUCUCUGUCCUUCCUUCCUUUCCAGUGGAGAGAUCUACAGCCUUCACUACUGCCUGUGACUGGAUGAGUGAUCCUGAGUUCGUCUACAAAGUGGCACAUGGGCAUCACACAGCUGUGCCAAGGGUGUAAUGACUCUGACACAGACAUUAGCGUCUGACUUUCCACAGGCUUGUGUUUAGAAGACAGAACUGGACGAGUUGGUAGAAUUUACUCUUGAAUGAAGGAUGGAACUGGCUUGUAUUUAUAAAACAGAACUGGACUAGUUGGUAGCAUUUACUCUUGAAUGAAGGCUGGAACUGGAGCUGACUCCCUUGCUGGACUGCAAUCUCCAUGAGAGCCAUGUCUGUCUUGCCUGCCGCUGUCGUAGAUAAAGAUCUACCACAAGGCCCCAUCAACCCUUUAAAUGCAUCAAGAACAUCCUGACCCAGGAGCAACAAAACACUUUGGACCAGUAAGUAACCUUUUUGGAGUAAAUGUUCUGCAAUUUGGGAUUUGCAAAUCUCUGAAUUUGAUAUCGGUCCUCUAUUACCUGAAGAUUUUCUCUGGUUUGAUGCUGGCUUCACUCCUUGUCUCUCUGGUUUCCUGGUUUAUUCCAUGUUGGUUCUCCGAAUACUUGUGUUUGCUCAUCUGUUGAGCUGCAUUUUGGACCUGGGUGCAAGCCUUCU